AAACAACCCCAUAAAAGUGGUAAAUUUGUUAAUAUAAGAAAAUAACGCCGUAAAAGGAGUGUAUCUUUUAACACUAGCAAACAACCCCAAAAAAGUGGUAUAUUUGUCGAUAUUAGAAAAUAACCUCAUAAGAGGGGUAUAUUUCUCAAUAUCAGAAGGCAACCCCAUAAGAGGGAUAUAUCUUUCAACAUUAUAAAACAACCCCAAAAAAGUG
Molecule: long non-coding RNA, 214 nt
Filed under: Ricinus communis (castor bean)
Lineage: Eukaryota; Viridiplantae; Streptophyta; Magnoliopsida; Malpighiales; Euphorbiaceae
Description: long non-coding RNA (RCOM_LNC002408)
Source: RNAcentral